CUACGUGCCAGCAGCCGCGGUAAUACGUAGGGUGCGAGCGUUAAUCGGAAUUACUGGGCGUAAAGCGGGCGCAGACGGUUACUUAAGCAGGAUGUGAAAUCCCCGGGCUCAACCUGGGAACUGCGUUCUGAACUGGGUGACUAGAGUGUGUCAGAGGGAGGUAGAAUUCCACGUGUAGCAGUGAAAUGCGUAGAGAUGUGGAGGAAUACCGAUGGCGAAGGCAGCCUCCUGGGAUAACACUGACGUUCAUGCCCGAAAGCGUGGGUAGCAAACAGGAUUAGAUACCCUGGUAGUCCACGCCCUAAACGAUGUCGAUUAGCUGUUGGGCAGCAUGACUGCUUAGUAGCGAAGCUAACGCGUGAAAUCGACCGCCUGGGGAGUACGGCCGCAAGAUUAAAACUCAAAUGAAUUGACGGGGGCCCGCACAAGCGGUGGAGCAUGUGGUUUAAUUCGAAGCAACGCGAAGAACCUUACCAGGUCU
This 481-nucleotide ribosomal RNA is filed under the name uncultured bacterium. RNAcentral describes it as "bacterial SSU rRNA". It matches the Rfam family "Bacterial small subunit ribosomal RNA", at positions 501 to 981 of the family's 1533-position model. The record is from RNAcentral.